RNAcentral lists this ribosomal RNA (474 nucleotides) under uncultured bacterium. RNAcentral's name for it is "bacterial SSU rRNA". It matches the Rfam family "Bacterial small subunit ribosomal RNA", at positions 28 to 528 of the family's 1533-position model. The record is from RNAcentral.
GACGAACGCUGGCGGCGUGCCUAAGACAUGCAAGUCGAACGGGACCUUCGGGUCUAGUGGCGAACGGCGGAGUAAUACAUAAGUAACUUGCCUCGAAGAUCGGGAUAGCCGCGGGAAACUGCGAGUAAUACCGGAUGUGACGAGUGGGGGGCAUCCCCUGCUCAUUAAAUGGUUUUUCGCUUCGAGAGCGGCUUAUGACACAUCAGCUAGUUGGUGGGGUAAAGGCCUACCAAGGCGACGACGUGUAGGGGGUCUGAGAGGAUGAUCCCCCCCGAGUGGGACUGAGACACGGCCCACACACCUACGGGUGGCAGCAGUUGGGAAUCUUGCACAAUGGGGGAAACCCUGAUGCAGCGACGCCGCGUGGAGGAAGAAGGGUCUAGGCUCGUAAACUCCUUUUUCAGGGAAAGACUUAGGACGGUACCCUGAGAAUAAGCUCCGGCUAACUACGUGCCAGCAGCCGCGGUAAUGUAU